Molecule: long non-coding RNA, 529 nt
Organism: Oncorhynchus tshawytscha (Chinook salmon)
Lineage: Eukaryota; Metazoa; Chordata; Actinopteri; Salmoniformes; Salmonidae
Source: Ensembl
CAGAGGUCUCCGUGUCAUCCCUUGAUGCAUCCAUUACAUUAAAAUAACAACCAUUAGUGUAGAAUCACAAUAAAAAUGUCACAGCCAUCAAAACAAGAACACACAUGAGGUUUAAUCUGACAAAAUAUUCUAUUACAAACUGAAGCUCAACUUAAAUUCUGAACUGGUCAUGUGACUGACUGCCUGGUAGCUGCUCUGACCUGGUGGUGGUAGACUGGGACCUUGUGAAGUCUGACCACACUGACUAGCCUCAGGUAGGGAGCCGCUCUGACCUGGUGGUGGUAGACUGGGACCUUGUGAAGUCUGACCACACUGACUAGCCUCAGUCCGACCACACUGACUAGCCUCAGGUAGGGAGCCGCUCUGUGGUCUGGUGAUGGUAGACUGGGAUCUUGUGAAGUCUGACCACACUGACUAGCCUCAGGUAGGGAGCCGCUCUGACCUGGUGGUGGUAGACUGGGACCUUGUGAUGUCUGACCACACUGACUAGCCUCAGGUAGGGAGUCGCUCUGGGGUCCGGUGGUGAUGC